RNAcentral lists this ribosomal RNA (465 nucleotides) under uncultured bacterium. RNAcentral describes it as "partial 16S ribosomal RNA". It matches the Rfam family "Bacterial small subunit ribosomal RNA", at positions 339 to 795 of the family's 1533-position model. The record is from RNAcentral.
CUACGGGCUGCAGCAGUGGGGAAUAUUGCACAAUGGGCGCAAGCCUGAUGCAGCCAUGCCGCGUGUAUGAAGAAGGCCUUCGGGUUGUAAAGUACUUUCAGCGGGGAGGAAGGGAGUAAAGUUAAUACCUUUGCUCAUUGACGUUACCCGCAGAAGAAGCACCGGCUAACUCCGUGCCAGCAGCCGCGGUGAAUACGGAGGGUGCAAGCGUUAAUCGGAAUUACUGGGCGUAAAGCGCACGCAGGCGGUUUGUUAAGUCAGAUGUGAAAUCCCCGGGCUCAACCUGGGAACUGCAUCUGAUACUGGCAAGCUUGAGUCUCGUAGAGGGGGGUAGAAUUCCAGGUGUAGCGGUGAAAUGCGUAGAGAUCUGGAGGAAUACCGGUGGCGAAGGCGGCCCCCUGGACGAAGACUGACGCUCAGGUGCGAAAGCGUGGGGAGCAAACAGGAUUAGAUACCCCUGUAGUC